This 750-nucleotide ribosomal RNA is filed under the name marine metagenome. Its description in RNAcentral is "bacterial SSU rRNA". It matches the Rfam family "Bacterial small subunit ribosomal RNA", at positions 488 to 1237 of the family's 1533-position model. The record is from RNAcentral.
AGCACCGGCUAACUACGUGCCAGCAGCCGCGGUAAUACGUAGGGUGCAAGCGUUGUCCGGAAUUAUUGGGCGUAAAGAGCUCGUAGGCGGUUUGUCGCGUCUGCUGUGAAAACUGGAGGCUCAACCUCCAGCCUGCAGUGGGUACGGGCAAACUAGAGUGCGGUAGGGGAGAUUGGAAUUCCUGGUGUAGCGGUGGAAUGCGCAGAUAUCAGGAGGAACACCGAUGGCGAAGGCAGAUCUCUGGGCCGUAACUGACGCUGAGGAGCGAAAGCAUGGGGAGCGAACAGGAUUAGAUACCCUGGUAGUCCAUGCCGUAAACGUUGGGAACUAGAUGUGGGGUCCAUUCCACGGAUUCCGUGUCGCAGCUAACGCAUUAAGUUCCCCGCCUGGGGAGUACGGCCGCAAGGCUAAAACUCAAAGGAAUUGACGGGGGCCCGCACAAGCGGCGGAGCAUGCGGAUUAAUUCGAUGCAACGCGAAGAACCUUACCAAGGCUUGACAUAUACGAGAACGCUGCAGAAAUGUAGAACUCUUUGGACACUCGUAUACAGGUGGUGCAUGGUUGUCGUCAGCUCGUGUCGUGAGAUGUUGGGUUAAGUCCCGCAACGAGCGCAACCCUCGUUCUAUGUUGCCAGCACGUAAUGGUGGGAACUCAUAGGAGACUGCCGGGGUCAACUCGGAGGAAGGUGGGGAUGACGUCAAAUCAUCAUGCCCCUUAUGUCUUGGGCUUCACGCAUGCUACAAUGGCCGG